Molecule: long non-coding RNA, 880 nt
Filed under: Homo sapiens (human)
Lineage: Eukaryota; Metazoa; Chordata; Mammalia; Primates; Hominidae
Description: HSALNT0145352
Source: RNAcentral
GCGGCAGAGGGUCCCGCGUGGCAGAGGAGAGGGCGGCAGAGGGUCCCGCGUGGCAGAGGAGAGGGCGGCAGAGGGUCCCGCGUGGCAGAGGAGAGGGCGGCAGAGGAUCCCGCGUGGCAGAGGGCAGCCGACAGGCAGCUCUGAGAGGAUACAGGGUUGGGAAGCUCAGGCAGAAGGCCAUCGUAAGAGCUAAGAGCUACGUAUGGAGAGUGUGGAGGUGAUGAGAACUGAACGGGGGCCGCUGGGCUUAGUGACCAGGCAGCAACUGUGCCCUUGCUGAAUUCCAGGCGCUAAAGAACUUGGUGAAGAGUCCGGGCCCCGCUGAGAGGGUGGCGCGUGCGCAAAUGUGGAAUCCUCACCCAAAGUCCUCAGCCUCAGAGCACACGAAGGUGUUUCUCCUCCCCUGUCGAGCGGGAACCGGGGGUCCAGGCUGGGACGCUGAUUGGAUGUGACAGCCCAGCAGACUCCAUGCUCGGGGUGGAGGCUUCAAAGGACACGGCAGGCGUCAGGGACUUUUCUUUCUCUUUGAGAUGGGGUCUUGCUCUGUUGCCCAGGCUGGAGUGCAGGGGCGCAAUCACAGCUCAUUGCAGCCUCAAUGUCUGCUCAAGCAAUCCUCCAGCCUCAGGCCUCUAACAUGCCAAGAUCACAGGUAUGAGCCACUGUGCCUGGCCUAGGGACUUUUUCUUUUUCUUUUUUUUUUUUUUUUGAGACAGUCUCACUCUGUCGCCCAGGCUGGAGUGCAGGGGCACGAUCUCGGCUCACUGCAAGCUCCGCCUCCCGGGUUCACGCCAUUCUCCUGCCUCAGCCUCCCGAGUAGCUGGGACUACAGGCGCCCGCCACCACGCCCGGCUAAGUUUUUUGUAUUUUUAGUAGAGAUGGG